Molecule: long non-coding RNA, 326 nt
Filed under: Cucumis sativus (cucumber)
Lineage: Eukaryota; Viridiplantae; Streptophyta; Magnoliopsida; Cucurbitales; Cucurbitaceae
Description: long non-coding RNA (CSAT_LNC002693)
Source: RNAcentral
UUUUGAAGAAAUGUAUUUCGUGGAAUUGAACUUUGUAUAUUGAUGAAUAUAGUGGAUACAAUCUCUAGUAUUUACUCAUUUGAUGCUUUAUCUCGAAUACAAGUUAAAACUUAGAACUUCUUGAUCUUCGUUAUUUAGGAUGUUGUAGUUGCAAGUGACUUUGAAUUAUGAUCUUCUGAAAUCCAAAGAAAGUUAAUCUUUCGAGUCUUCAAUCUUUUAGAAGUUGUUGAUCUUGAGGUUGAUACGAACUUACACGUCUUGAGAGCUUGUAGAAGUUUGAAUCUUCAAUUCUUCAGAGCUUCAGUACUUCAGAGUUUCAAUUCUUC